Molecule: ribosomal RNA, 497 nt
Filed under: uncultured bacterium
Lineage: Bacteria
Description: partial 16S ribosomal RNA
Rfam family: Bacterial small subunit ribosomal RNA
Source: RNAcentral
GAUGAACGCUGGCGGCGUGCCUAAUACAUGCAAGUCGAGCGAACAGACGAGGAGCUUGCUCCUCUGACGUUAGCGGCGGACGGGUGAGUAACACGUGGAUAACCUACCUAUAAGACUGGGAUAACUUCGGGAAACCGGAGCUAAUACCGGAUAACAUGUUGAACCGCAUGGUUCAACAGUGAAAGACGGGCUUGCUGUCACUUAUAGAUGGAUCCGCGCCGCAUUAGCUAGUUGGUAAGGUAACGGCUUACCAAGGCAACGAUGCGUAGCCGACCUGAGAGGGUGAUCGGCCACACUGGAACUGAGACACGGUCCAGACUCCUACGGGAGGCAGCAGUAGGGAAUCUUCCGCAAUGGGCGAAAGCCUGACGGAGCAACGCCGCGUGAGUGAAGAAGGUCUUCGGAUCGUAAAACUCUGUUAUUAGGGAAGAACAAAUGUGUAAGUAACUAUGCACGUCUUGACGGUACCUAAUCAGAAAGCCACGGCUAACUACGUG